GGCAGAGGCAGGGCAGCUUCCCCGGCCCCUCCGCCGCGCAGGUGACCCAGCGCCAGGUGAGCCCCGCGGGGGCACCUGUGGAGCCCGGCCCGCCUCUGCCGCCGGCUCCUCGGGCGCCGGGACCGCGGGGGAUGCUCGGGGGAUGCUCGGGGGAUGCUCGGGGGACGGGUCCGGCCUCCCCCGGCCCUGGCUCUGGGGCCGAGGGGGUUCCUGGCCGUAUCCCGGAGGGAUCCCGGCAGGAUGCCGCCAUCAGCACCAGGGACAGCGCCCGGCGGCGCCUCCGGGGCAGGGCUGGACCGGGACAUGACCCGGGCAUCCCUGACCGGGCACCGGGCACCGGCACCCGCCCGGACCCUCCCCGGAGAUCAACGGCAGGUCCCCGAGGCGACGCUGGACUGUUCCCGGGCCAGGGAGAUGCCAUAGGUGGAGUCAACCCUGUCCCUGACAGAGGUCUCUGAAGAACAGGGGAUUCGGGGUGCCAAAAAAGCCCCGGGGCAGACAGAGCGCGAGCGGUGCCGGAGGGACACGAGCGGCACUCGGGAGCAGAGACAGGGCUGCAGGCAAGCUGUGCUGAAGCCAGGAGUGGACUGACAGAGCAAUCCCCAGGGCCCCAGCAGGAUGCAUUAACAGCGUGUCUCUCUGCUGAGCCGUGAUGGGAAGAGCACAAAGCAAAAAAGAAGAGAGAACACGAAGAGCAGAUCUCUCUAAGGAUCCAGGCUGACAGCAAUAUUGCCAUCUGACUGAAGAGAACUCAGACACACACAAUCCUCGGGAAAAUUCAUCUCCACCCUCCCGCAGACCCCGAAGUACAUCUGACAGGCUUGGUGAAGAUGGGAAGGAUGCUGUUCCCUGCCUGGGUUCAGUGGCUGAGAAUUGUUGCCUUUGUACAGCAAAUUGCUCAACUAUAGAGAAAAUCUCAUCUUCAUUGGCUCUCGUAGCAAGGAACCAUCUUCCCUCAGCUUCUGGAAAUCACACAAACCCCCUAAAAGCUGAAGAGAUGGAUAAAACCUGGGUACACAGCUGCCUGCAAACCUCAGAUUAAAUUGAGAAAAACCCAAGGAGCUGCUGCAGCCACAGACUGAGCACAAAGACCUCGGAGGAAAUUCUGCAGGUGUCUAAAUUACCCACUCACCCUUUCAGGAGUAACUCAGGGAUUCAAUAAAUCGGCCUGGCCUCUGUUCCUAAAUUAUUUCAAUGCUUUUUGGAACUCUUAGCACAGUUCUAAACUCCCCCACAUUUUGAGGGAACCGAUGGGGAAACAAUGGAUUAGGAAUUCUCAUGUAAGAAUGUUCCCAGUCACACAUCCCAGCCCUUUAUUGUUAUCCAUGUUGCAUUUUGUGGUGUCCCAGACUCCUCAGCACGGAUUGAAGCUCUUUGGCUUCAGUUGCCCUCGAAGAAGAGAAAACACAAGCUGUAAAUUCUGAGUUUGCAGCCUAAAUAAGCCAGACAGAGCAAGAACAGUUAUUAUUGCCAUGUUAUUGGCAGGGAAUUGAGACACAGGAAGAUUAAGUGACUGGCCCAAGGUCACCAAAGGAGCCUCUAGCAAAGGUGAGGGCUCAGCCUGGAUUUCAGAAGUCUCUGCCCAGUACUUCAGCCAUCCAUUCACUUGCUUUUUAAGUACCCUGUCAUUAUUUCCAUGAGGAAAAUUAUGCUACUCCUGGAGAAGCCAGCACCGUGUAAUUCAGCUUGUCUGAAAGGGAAUAUGAAAUGGCAGCUUCAAAAAAAAUUAACCCUCCUGCCACACAGUCUGGCAGCCCUGUCAAAACGGCUCAUUUUUUACCUGCUCUUCCUCCCCUGGGUAUUUAACUCCCCUCUCUAUUCCCAGAACUCUCGAUUGGGGCUCUGUGUGUGUCACCCCACAAACCCUUCGGGGUCCCUGGGGCCCUUGUGGGGGCCAUGGGUUGUACAGGAGGGAUGUGGUGGCUUUGAGACACUCUCAGAUGGGUGUUACUGAUUCUUUAUUCCCAGUUGUUGUGCCAGUGGAAGUGGGAGCUGCACCACUGCUGCUGAUCUGGUUCAGCAGACACCCUCCAGCUUUGGGACACAGGCUGGGAGAGCUGGGGGGGUUCACCUGGAGAAGGGAAGGCUCCAGGGAGACCUGAGAGCCCCU
Molecule: long non-coding RNA, 2110 nt
Organism: Neopelma chrysocephalum (saffron-crested tyrant-manakin)
Lineage: Eukaryota; Metazoa; Chordata; Aves; Passeriformes; Pipridae
Exons: 7
Source: RefSeq, a predicted model, not a curated record